UACGAAGGGGGCUAGCGUUGCUCGGAAUUACUGGGCGUAAAGGGCGCGUAGGCGGAUAGUUUAGUCAGAGGUGAAAGCCCAGGGCUCAACCUUGGAAUUGCCUUUGAUACUGGCUGUCUUGAGUAUGGGAGAGGUGAGUGGAACUCCGAGUGUAGAGGUGAAAUUCGUAGAUAUUCGGAAGAACACCAGUGGCGAAGGCGACUUACUGGACACAUAUUGACGCUGAGGUGCGAAAGCGUGGGGAGCAAACAGG
Molecule: ribosomal RNA, 253 nt
Filed under: uncultured bacterium
Lineage: Bacteria
Description: partial 16S ribosomal RNA
Rfam family: Bacterial small subunit ribosomal RNA
Source: RNAcentral